RNAcentral lists this ribosomal RNA (885 nucleotides) under Klebsiella sp. CF_2-1. RNAcentral's name for it is "bacterial SSU rRNA". It matches the Rfam family "Bacterial small subunit ribosomal RNA", at positions 77 to 956 of the family's 1533-position model. The record is from RNAcentral. Lineage: Bacteria; Pseudomonadati; Pseudomonadota; Gammaproteobacteria; Enterobacterales; Enterobacteriaceae.
AGCUUGCUCUCGGGUGACGAGCGGCGGACGGGUGAGUAAUGUCUGGGAAACUGCCUGAUGGAGGGGGAUAACUACUGGAAACGGUAGCUAAUACCGCAUAACGUCGCAAGACCAAAGUGGGGGACCUUCGGGCCUCAUGCCAUCAGAUGUGCCCAGAUGGGAUUAGCUAGUAGGUGGGGUAAUGGCUCACCUAGGCGACGAUCCCUAGCUGGUCUGAGAGGAUGACCAGCCACACUGGAACUGAGACACGGUCCAGACUCAUACGGGAGGCAGCAGUGGGGAAUAUUGCACAAUGGGCGCAAGCCUGAUGCAGCCAUGCCGCGUGUAUGAAGAAGGCCUUCGGGUUGUAAAGUACUUUCAGCGAGGAGGAAGGCGUUAAGGUUAAUAACCUUGGCGAUUGACGUUACUCGCAGAAGAAGCACCGGCUAACUCCGUGCCAGCAGCCGCGGUAAUACGGAGGGUGCAAGCGUUAAUCGGAAUUACUGGGCGUAAAGCGCACGCAGGCGGUUUGUUAAGUCAGAUGUGAAAUCCCCGGGCUCAACCUGGGAACUGCAUUUGAAACUGGCAAGCUUGAGUCUUGUAGAGGGGGGUAGAAUUCCAGGUGUAGCGGUGAAAUGCGUAGAGAUCUGGAGGAAUACCGGUGGCGAAGGCGGCCCCCUGGACAAAGACUGACGCUCAGGUGCGAAAGCGUGGGGAGCAAACAGGAUUAAUACCCUGGUAGUCCACGCUGUAAACGAUGAUCUACUUGGAGGUUGUUCCCUUGAGGAGUGGCUUCCGGAGCUAACGCGUUAAGUCGACCGCCUGGGGAGUACGGCCGCAAGGUUAAAACUCAAAUGAAUUGACGGGGGGCCCGCACAAGCGGGGAGCAUGUGGUUUAAUUCGAUG